Molecule: long non-coding RNA, 2105 nt
Organism: Engraulis encrasicolus (European anchovy)
Lineage: Eukaryota; Metazoa; Chordata; Actinopteri; Clupeiformes; Engraulidae
Exons: 4
Source: RefSeq, a predicted model, not a curated record
UAGUGCAAUCAAUGUUUACAUUAUACAACACAAAUAAACAACUUUGAAAACAAAAUUACAUUGAGAAUACACACUUACAUAUUGAAAACAAGUUGACAUUUCACAAAACACAUUAACAAAUGUAAAAACAACUCUACAAAACACAUAGGGCAACUGACAUUAACAAGUUUGAAAACAAAAUUACAUUUGCAUUACACACUUUCAUCUUUAAAAAACGAAUUACUAUUUCAUAAAACACAUUAAUAAAUGUACAACAAACAAAACAAAAAACAAAUCUAAAAUACAUUACAAAUAAUCUAAAAUACAUUUCAAUGAUCUGACAAAAAAAAACCUUUGAUACAAAUCACAUUAACAAGUUUGGAAACAAAAUUAGCCUACAUUUACAAUAUCUUACUUGAAAAAAAAAAAGAAAACAUUUCAUUAAACACAUUUGCAAAUGUGAAAGCAAAUGAACAAAACACAAAAGCAAACUGCGAGACACAUUUACAUUUCACGAAACACAAAGCAAAUUAACAAAACACAAAAGCAAACUGCGAGACACAUUUACAUUUCACGAAACACAAACGCAAACUCCAAAAACACAUUACAUUAACGAAAUUUCUUACGGAAGUAAGAAAUUUCUUACGGAAGUGAGAAAUUUCUUACGGAAGUGGUGUAGGUGCCCAACGCGUUCCUCCUGCCUGAUCCGUUCCCUAAUGGGGCGUCAGGAAAGCGGACGUGACGAAACAGGAAAUAGUGAGGAAUAAUUACAUACUUUCAGCGAGUGGAUGAGACGGUCGAUGCGGCGAGUGAAGAGCAUUCAUUUUUUAGCAUUUAUUUGAUCGUUCUGAGAAAAAUUGUCCGGUAACAUACACACACACAUGUAUUGCCCGUCUUGUGGCCUUUGCUUCAUUCGCCUUAUUCACCCGGAACGUUCUAAAGACGUUGAGGGGUACACUUCAGGGGUACAUUCGGCAACGCACCAGCUGUCAUAGCGCCUCACUGUUGUGUGCCCAAAUGUUCGUCCUCAAAGAGAAAAAAUCCUACCGUGGACAGACUUUCCACCGUUUCCACAAAGAGCAGGCACUUCGCCGUGAAUGUAUAAAUCAAAUCAAGAGGGAUCCUGGUCCAUAUUUCAAGAUCAACGCUGAGACCAAGGUUUGCUCUGAGCACUUUGAGAAGCAGUGUUUUGUAAAGACCGCCCGUUGAAUCACAAAGCUUAUAAAGGAUGCUGUGCCAACUUUGUUCGCCUGGACUUAAGAGAGGCCAAAGAGGAGAAUCAUCAUUCGCAGACCGAGUACGGAUUCCAUGGAGGUGGAUGAAAACCAGCCUGAUGAGAACCAACCUGAUGUGAGAAGGGAUGCCUUGAGCACAGAUGUACCUCCUCCACACCCGUACCAUGAUUAUGCUGUUCCACCGCUGACACCAGAGGAACAACUUGAGGCGGCUCGCAAGCACAUCAUUGAGCAAGACAAGUUAAUAGCACAACUCAAAGAUAAAGUGUUCAGUGUGUCAAGAUUCCAGUGUGAUGAUAGUCCGAUGUCAUUUUACACAGGAUUCCCAGACUAUGCCACCUUUAAAGCUGUAUAUAUGGCUCUACAGCCCACAGCCACAAGCAUGGUAGGAUGGAGUCAGGCUCAAAGGCUUAGACAAACAGAGGUACAGGUCAUUAGACAGGCAUUUAAUAUCUCCAAACUAGCAACUAUGGACCAGUUCUUUCUCUUUCUCUGUUGCCUCAGACAGGGGUUUGCUGAGCAGGACCUUGCGGUGCGCUUUGGUGUGUCACAGUCAACUGUGAGCAGAAUCUGUCACCUGGGCUAACUAUCGAUACUUCAUGUUAGGAUCUCUCCCCAUUUGGCCUUCAAAAGCCACAGUAGAUGAAUGUAUGCCUACUUGUUUUCAAAACACUUACCCAGACACCAGAGUCAUUCUAGACUGUACAGAAAUAUAUGUGCAAAUGCUUAGUUUGCAGGUACUUAACUCCAAAAUCUAUUCCCAUUACAAGGGCAACCCAAAUUUCAAAGGCCUGAUUGGAAUUGCCCCGUCUGGUGAGGUGUCAUUCGUUAGUGACCUGUACACAGGCUUCAUAUCCGAGAAGGAGAUUACAGAAUUGUCCGGCAUCCUAG